UCCCUCCCUGUUUCUCUCUGAUUUUCCAGAAUGCUCCUCCACAGAAUCCUGCCACCUGUGUCAGUGAAAAAAAAGAAGGCUAUUGGUAUUCCUCUUUGAGGCUGGUUAAGGGAGUGAUCCUACCACCUCCAUUCCCAGUCCUACCCACUCUCUACAUUUUUUAAGAACACAUGCAGUCGCCACAGGUUAACGUCGGCGCCGCCAUUGCAUGUCACAGGCAGACCAUAUGGGAACGUAGGAGGCUGAUGCAAUGAUGUGCUGGGAUACCCUGAGUUUGAAUCAUGUGUAGUAGCAUUACUGUCAGAGAAAGCAAAAUAAUUGUCUGAAUAAAAGAAUCAAUCCAUUUCA
Molecule: long non-coding RNA, 348 nt
Organism: Salmo salar (Atlantic salmon)
Lineage: Eukaryota; Metazoa; Chordata; Actinopteri; Salmoniformes; Salmonidae
Source: RefSeq, a predicted model, not a curated record